CUACUGCUGUGCACUAGCAGCAAAAACCUCAGCUGCCAAACUUACCAGCACAUUCUGUCAGAGGUCACACUCGUCAAUGAGACUCAAGGAAGAAACAUGGUGAACUUCUUCAUUCUGCCCUUCCUCAGAAGAAACACAACAGAUGCGGGCUGUGUGUCGACUGCUAACAACAGUGUUGAGUGGCUGCAGAAGAACUUUGGCCCGUUCUCUCAGUUUGUGCCUCUCACAGAUCUGCUCUCCAUCAACAGACUCUUUGAUCCU
Cyprinus carpio (common carp) is the source of this 261-nucleotide long non-coding RNA. RefSeq lists it as uncharacterized. The record is from RefSeq and is a predicted model, not a curated record. The transcript has 3 exons. NCBI's taxonomy places the organism in Eukaryota, Metazoa, Chordata, Actinopteri, Cypriniformes, Cyprinidae.